RNAcentral lists this ribosomal RNA (506 nucleotides) under uncultured bacterium. Its description in RNAcentral is "partial 16S ribosomal RNA". It matches the Rfam family "Bacterial small subunit ribosomal RNA", at positions 29 to 523 of the family's 1533-position model. The record is from RNAcentral.
AGUGAACGCUGGCGGUAGGCCUAACACAUGCAAGUCGAACGGCAGCACAGAGGAGCUUGCUCCUUGGGUGGCGAGUGGCGGACGGGUGAGGAAUGCAUCGGAAUCUACUCUGUCGUGGGGGAUAACGUAGGGAAACUUACGCUAAUACCGCAUACGACCUACGGGUGAAAGCAGGGGAUCUUCGGACCUUGCGCGAUUGAAUGAGCCGAUGUCGGAUUAGCUAGUUGGCGGGGUAAAGGCCCACCAAGGCGACGAUCCGUAGCUGGUCUGAGAGGAUGAUCAGCCACACUGGAACUGAGACACGGUCCAGACUCCUACGGGAGACAGCAGUGGGGAAUAUUGGACAAUGGGCGCAAGCCUGAUCCAGCCAUACCGCGUGGGUGAAGAAGGCCUUCGGGUUGUAAAGCCCUUUUGUUGGGAAAGAAAUCCAUCUGGUUAAUACCCGGGUGGGAUGACGGUACCCAAAGAAUAAGCACCGGCUAACUUCGUGCCAGCCGCCGCAGUAA